UUUCCACAAAAAUGCAGAGUUUUUUUGUUAUUUGUGCGGGCAAAAAUCCUUGAUUAUGCAGCACGUUUUCUUAAAAGAAUGCGAUGGAAUAUGUGGGGUAUUUCUGCAAUUUUAUGUGAUGAAAUCGGGGGAACUUGCAAAAACUGCAGUUUGAUGAAAAACAGA
This is a long non-coding RNA of Etheostoma spectabile (orangethroat darter), 165 nucleotides long. RefSeq lists it as uncharacterized. The transcript is spliced from 3 exons. The record is from RefSeq and is a predicted model, not a curated record. NCBI's taxonomy places the organism in Eukaryota, Metazoa, Chordata, Actinopteri, Perciformes, Percidae.